Molecule: ribosomal RNA, 851 nt
Filed under: uncultured Burkholderiales bacterium
Lineage: Bacteria; Pseudomonadati; Pseudomonadota; Betaproteobacteria; Burkholderiales
Description: bacterial SSU rRNA
Rfam family: Bacterial small subunit ribosomal RNA
Source: RNAcentral
UGCAGUCGAACGGCAGCACGGGUGCUUGCACCUGGUGGCGAGUGGCGUACGGGUGAGUAAUAUAUCGGAACGUACCUUAUUGUGGGGGAUAACGCAGCGAAAGCUGUGCUAAUACCGCAUAAUCCCUUAGGGGGAAAGCGGGGGACCGUAAGGCCUCGCGCAAUUAGAGCGGCCGAUACCUGAUUAGCUAGCUGGUGAGGUAAAGGCUCACCAAGGCAACGAUCAGUAGCUGGUCUGAGAGGACGAUCAGCCACACUGGGACUGAGACACGGCCCAGACUCCUACGGGAGGCAGCAGUGGGGAAUUUUGGACAAUGGGGGAAACCCUGAUCCAGCAAUGCCGCGUGAGUGAAGAAGGCCUUCGGGUUGUAAAGCUCUUUUGUCAGGGAAGAAACAGCAGCUCUAACACAGUCUGCGAAUGACGGUACCUGAAGAAUAAGCACCGGCUAACUACGUGCCAGCAGCCGCGGUAAUACGUAGGGUGCAAGCGUUAAUCGGAAUUACUGGGCGUAAAGCGUGCGCAGGCGGUUAUGUAAGACAGGCGUGAAAUCCCCGGGCUUAACCUGGGAAUUGCGCUUGUGACUGCAUAGCUAGAGUAUGUCAGAGGGGGGUAGAAUUCCACGUGUAGCAGUGAAAUGCGUAGAGAUGUGGAGGAAUACCAAUGGCGAAGGCAGCCCCCUGGGACAAUACUGACGCUCAUGCACGAAAGCGUGGGGAGCAAACAGGAUUAGAUACCCUGGUAGUCCACGCCCUAAACGAUGCUGACUAGUUGUUCGGGAAUUUAUUCCUGAGUAACGUAGCUAACGCGUGAAGUCAGCCGCCUGGGGAGUACGGUCGCAAGAUUAAAACUCA